Passer domesticus (house sparrow) is the source of this 440-nucleotide long non-coding RNA. RefSeq lists it as uncharacterized. The record is from RefSeq and is a predicted model, not a curated record. NCBI's taxonomy places the organism in Eukaryota, Metazoa, Chordata, Aves, Passeriformes, Passeridae. The transcript is spliced from 3 exons.
GAAAGGAGAGCCUGCGGAGAAAGAAGCAUUUCCCGGAGGAAGCAGUGGUUGCAUGCCAGCCUCAGCUCCAGGAAGGGAGGCCAUGCCAGGCACAGGCACAGGAGAUGAGGGUGCUGGGAAGGCUUCUCCAUCAGCUUGGAUGAAUAAAGUUUUGAAGUCCUUGGAGCCUCCUGCAGAUGUGUCUACAGGGAAGACUUCUCCAGCUUCUCCAGCUGCUACUUUGGAUGCUGCACUCAAGCCCAGCUCCCAUCUCAGGGGUGAGUAGUGUGUCCCUGCUGACCCCACAGGCUGAACCCUGCUUUUCUGGGGUCCAUUCCUGGGAAAUGGAAAUAUUUUUCUCUAAGGUACUCCAACAGGGAAAAUCCAAGAUACAACAGAUAAGAUAUCCCUGGAACCAUCCAAACAGAUGAGGCAAGAGCUGAAGGAACCCCUGCAGACAA